GAAGAGUGGGCCGUGGAAUGGAGCAUACAGUACUCGGACUCUGGGAGGAGACUCGACCGAGCAGAUACUCACAAAUGAAACGACCGUGACGCCCAAGCCGUUUUCUCCCUUGGCGUUUUUCGCGUGUGGUGACCUUCAGCUUUUGCUCUCGCUAGCCGGACAGCCGGGUUGCGGUCUAUAGCUGAGACAAAGGGUGGGCCUUCGGUACCGUACAGGCUACUAAGCCGUCCCAUGGAAACGAACAUAUCGGGCAAAG
RNAcentral lists this long non-coding RNA (256 nucleotides) under Hordeum vulgare. RNAcentral describes it as "long non-coding RNA (HVUL_LNC019616)". The record is from RNAcentral. Lineage: Eukaryota; Viridiplantae; Streptophyta; Magnoliopsida; Poales; Poaceae.